UACUUUAAUAGUGUAAUUUUAUUAAGCAUACUUUAUUUUGAUUAAAGAGGUCUAUUUGGUUAAAGUG
This 67-nucleotide transfer RNA is filed under the name Nymphon gracile. RNAcentral's name for it is "tRNA-Gln". Lineage: Eukaryota; Metazoa; Arthropoda; Pycnogonida; Pantopoda; Nymphonidae. The record is from RNAcentral.